AAAAAUUGUGGCUCAAGAACAAAACAUUGUUCCCCUGCCCCAAAAAAAAAAUAGUUUUGCAAUAUCACGUGGCUUGACUGUGAUUGGUGAUUUUAAAAACGGUGCCAAACAAAAAUUUGGGGAAAUUGUGGCCGUCUUUGGGGAGAUUUAACCGUGACUGAAUAAAUUUAUGCAGAAGAAGAAGGAGGCCGGUGGUUUGAUACAGCUAGGGAGGACCCACCUCGCUUUUCCUACCGAAUUAGUUGUGGCACGCUCUAUCAAAAACCCUAGCCGAGAAGACAACAUGGGCCUGACCUAUGGAUCGAGGUGUGAACAUGGUAUCCAUAAUCGGAGGGCUCCUGAUGGCUCCACCUCAUUUAACAAUCAAAAACCUAUAUUUGAAAGGAGCGGCUGAGAUGUACGAAAAUGGUGUAUUUGUUACUGUGGACCUCAAGUUCAUUGUGGACUCUCACAUCUGCAAUAUGCAUCUUUGAAAAUGUCCAACCUUAUGGAAGAUAUCUCUGCUUCAACCUCGUCAUCAGUUGCAACAAAGAUGCCAUUAAGCUUGCCCACGUAUUAUUGCCACCCUCUGAAGCUGAAGCCUCCCCUCCUGAAAGGUUUUCAUUGGUUUUGGUCAUCUCAAUUUGUAUUGGUUUUGGUCUUCUCAGUUUCUCAAUACUUGUUUAAAGACUCAUCUUUUCAUAGGGUAUCAAUAUCAUGGCUCGUAUAGUUUAUUUAGUAAUACUGUAUUAGUUAUUGACAGUGGUAGAGGCCUUGAAAACCAAUUGGUACAGUGUAAUAUUAUUUGAUAAAGUUACUUCAAAGUUCAGAAAAA
Long non-coding RNA from Quercus lobata, 814 nucleotides. RefSeq lists it as uncharacterized. NCBI's taxonomy places the organism in Eukaryota, Viridiplantae, Streptophyta, Magnoliopsida, Fagales, Fagaceae. The record is from RefSeq and is a predicted model, not a curated record. The transcript is spliced from 2 exons.